RNAcentral lists this ribosomal RNA (909 nucleotides) under Salmonella enterica subsp. enterica serovar Typhimurium. RNAcentral describes it as "bacterial SSU rRNA". It matches the Rfam family "Bacterial small subunit ribosomal RNA", at positions 41 to 952 of the family's 1533-position model. The record is from RNAcentral. Lineage: Bacteria; Pseudomonadati; Pseudomonadota; Gammaproteobacteria; Enterobacterales; Enterobacteriaceae.
GACAGCCAUAACACAUGCAAGUCUAACGGUAACAGGAAGCAGCUUGCUGCUUCGCUGACGAGUGGCGGACGGGUGAGUAAUGUCUGGAAAACUGCCUGAUGGAGGGGGAUAACUACUGGAAACGGUGGCUAAUACCGCAUAACGUCGCAAGACCAAAGAGGGGGACCUUCGGGCCUCUUGCCAUCAGAUGUGCCCAGAUGGGAUUAGCUUGUUGGUGAGGUAACGGCUCACCAAGGCGACGAUCCCUAGCUGGUCUGAGAGGAUGACCAGCCACACUGGAACUGAGACACGGUCCAGACUCCUACGGGAGGCAGCAGUGGGGAAUAUUGCACAAUGGGCGCAAGCCUGAUGCAGCCAUGCCGCGUGUAUGAAGAAGGCCUUCGGGUUGUAAAGUACUUUCAGCGGGGAGGAAGGUGUUGUGGUUAAUAACCGCAGCAAUUGACGUUACCCGCAGAAGAAGCACCGGCUAACUCCGUGCCAGCAGCCGCGGUAAUACGGAGGGUGCAAGCGUUAAUCGGAAUUACUGGGCGUAAAGCGCACGCAGGCGGUCUGUCAAGUCGGAUGUGAAAUCCCCGGGCUCAACCUGGGAACUGCAUUCGAAACUGGCAGGCUUGAGUCUUGUAGAGGGGGGUAGAAUUCCAGGUGUAGCGGUGAAAUGCGUAGAGAUCUGGAGGAAUACCGGUGGCGAAGGCGGCCCCCUGGACAAAGACUGACGCUCAGGUGCGAAAGCGUGGGGAGCAAACAGGAUUAGAUACGCUGGUAGUCCACGCCGUAAACGAUGUCUACUUGGAGGUUGUGCCCUUGAGCGUGCUUCGGAGCUAACGCGUAAAGACACGCCUGGGAGUACGGCGCAAGUUAAAACUCAAAUGAAUUGACGGGGGCGCACAAGCGGUGAGCUGUGGUUAUUUC